This 446-nucleotide ribosomal RNA is filed under the name uncultured bacterium. Its description in RNAcentral is "partial 16S ribosomal RNA". It matches the Rfam family "Bacterial small subunit ribosomal RNA", at positions 338 to 795 of the family's 1533-position model. The record is from RNAcentral.
CCUACGGGUGGCAGCAGUAGGGAAUUUUCGGCAAUGGGGGGAACCCUGACCGAGCAACGCCGCGUGAACGAAGAAGUUAUUCGUAAUGUAAAGUUCUUUUAACAGGGAAGAAAGAGAAAUUUGACGGUACCUGAAGCAUAAGCUCCGGCUAACUACGUGCCAGCAGCCGCGGUAAUACGAGGGGAGCGAGCGUUAUCGGGAAUGAUGGGGGGAAAGGGGUGGGUAGAUGGCAUAGUAAGUCUUUGUGAAAAAUGCUGGGCUCAACCCAGUAGGGCAAAAGAAACUGCAAAGCUAGAGUAUGACAGAGGAAAGUGGAACUACAUGUGUAGCGGUAAAAUGCGUAAAUAUAUGUAAGAACACCAGUGGCGAAGGCGGCUUGCUGGGUCGAUACUGACAUUGAGGCACGAAAGCGUGGGGAGCAAACAGGAUUAGAUACCCUGGUAGUC